This is a non-coding RNA of Myotis lucifugus (little brown bat), 75 nucleotides long. NCBI's taxonomy places the organism in Eukaryota, Metazoa, Chordata, Mammalia, Chiroptera, Vespertilionidae. The record is from Rfam.
UGCAGUUCUCGAGUGAAGCACCCCAGAAUCGGGCUCCCUCCUCUCUGGUUCCUGGUGUGUCACCCAAGAACCACA